This 468-nucleotide ribosomal RNA is filed under the name uncultured bacterium. RNAcentral's name for it is "partial 16S ribosomal RNA". It matches the Rfam family "Bacterial small subunit ribosomal RNA", at positions 28 to 507 of the family's 1533-position model. The record is from RNAcentral.
GACGAACGCUGGCGGCGUGCUUAACACAUGCCAGUCGAACGGAAAGGCCCUGCUUUUGUGGGGUGCUCGAGUGGCGAACGGGUGAGUAACACGUGAGUAACCUGCCCUUGACUUUGGGAUAACUUCAGGAAACUGGGGCUAAUACCGGAUAGGAGCUCCUGCUGCAUGGUGGGGGUUGGAAAGUUUCGGCGGUUGGGGAUGGACUCGCGGCUUAUCAGCUUGUUGGUGGGGUAGUGGCUUACCAAGGCUUUGACGGGUAGCCGGCCUGAGAGGGUGACCGGCCUCAUUGGGACUGAGAUACGGCCCAGACUCCUACGGGAGGCAGCAGUGGGGAAUAUUGCACAAUAGGCGGGAGCCUGAUGCAGCAACGCCGCGUGCGGGAUGACGGCCUUCGGGUUGUAAACCGCUUUCGCCUGUGACGAAGCGUGAGUGACGGUAAUGGGUAAAGAAGCACCGGCUAACUACGUG